RNAcentral lists this transfer RNA (64 nucleotides) under Diaphanosoma excisum. RNAcentral describes it as "tRNA-Cys". It matches the Rfam family "tRNA". From Rfam's summary of the family: Transfer RNA (tRNA) molecules are approximately 80 nucleotides in length. Their secondary structure includes four short double-helical elements and three loops (D, anti-codon, and T loops). Further hydrogen bonds mediate the characteristic L-shaped molecular structure. tRNAs have two regions of fundamental functional importance: the anti-codon, which is responsible for specific mRNA codon recognition, and the 3' end, to which the tRNAs corresponding amino acid is attached (by aminoacyl-tRNA synthetases). tRNAs cope with the degeneracy of the genetic code in two manners: having more than one tRNA (with a specific anti-codon) for a particular amino acid; and 'wobble' base-pairing, i.e. permitting non-standard base-pairing at the 3rd anti-codon position. The record is from RNAcentral. Lineage: Eukaryota; Metazoa; Arthropoda; Branchiopoda; Diplostraca; Sididae.
GAUGCUUUAGUUUAAUGAAAAAUGUAAGAUUGCAAUUCUUGAGAUGUAAAACAUACAAGCAUUU